GAGAAGUUGACAAGACCUGCUAACUCUUUAAUCUGGCAUUAAACUACCAGCCUUCUCU
Molecule: transfer RNA, 58 nt
Filed under: Rhinophis cf. mendisi
Lineage: Eukaryota; Metazoa; Chordata; Lepidosauria; Squamata; Uropeltidae
Description: tRNA-Ser
Source: RNAcentral